This 321-nucleotide ribosomal RNA is filed under the name Triticum aestivum (bread wheat). RNAcentral describes it as "partial small subunit ribosomal RNA". Lineage: Eukaryota; Viridiplantae; Streptophyta; Magnoliopsida; Poales; Poaceae. The record is from RNAcentral.
AUGGCGGCGACACGAACGAUGAUGGUGGCGGAGGCAGAGGGCGGCGGCGCGGACGGCGGUGGUGGCGGAGGCAAAGGGCGGCAGCGUGAACGAUGGUGGUGGCGGAGGCAAAAGCGGUUGCGCGAACGAUGGUGGCAGCGGAGGCAGAGGGCGGCGGCGCGAACGAUGGUGGUGGCGGAGGCAGAGGGUGGCGGCGCGGACGGCGGUGGUGGCGGAUGCAAAGGGCGGCGGCGCGCGUGUGCGUUCUCGUGCUACUGGAUAAGACGAACAAAGGAGCGCGGACGAAAUUCUUACAAUGCAGGGGUAAAUUUGCAAAACUGA